AAGGCCGUGGUAAAACAAGAAUGAGUUACAUGACCCAACGAAAAGCCAAAGGAAUCAAGAAAAAUCUUCAAUGGAACGAUUUGGGACAACCAAUAGGUGAUGUGUAUACAAACAUGAUAUCAUAUCUUGGAUCUAGAGUACGAGCCACGAUUUCUAUCAACUCAGGUGAUUGGAGGAAGGUCCCACAAGAUUUGAAAGAUGGUCUAUGGGAGGAUAUCAUUGGUGGUAGCAACAUUCCUCAAACCUUCAAACGUGAGAUUUUGAAAAAAGCUGGUCAAAUAAUGAGAGAUUUUAAAAGUGAACUCACUACCGAGUACAUCAAACCUUUGGCUGAAAUGGGUAUGAUGGAAGAACUCAAAUUUCCCCCAAAAAAUAAAGUUCUUGUGACAGAGCUAGACCGAAAAAUUGCCAAAAAGAUAGAGGACGACAAAGAAAAAUUGAUUCGUGGCGAAAUUACAGCUCAGGGUCGAGAUGACAUCUUGACUCAAGCAUUAGGGACACCAGAACACCCAGGUCGUGUUCGAGCUGGCGAGUAUGAUAAUUUAUAAUAGUUGUUUUCUUUUAAGAAUUAUUUAGAUUGGUUUAUUGAUGGACUUUAUUGAUUUUUUUUGUAGGUUCACUGCGACCGUUUCCAAAAUGUUUGGAAAAAAAACAUAAAACAAUGACUGCAAGAGAGGAGAUUGCUCGACUAAAAGCUGAGAUUGAAGAGUUAAAAAGACAUAAAUUUAGCACAGAAGAGGAAUUAGCUCAAAAUGAAGAAUAUAAUGAGGAAAACGAUGAGUGUGGAUACUACGAUGAAGGGCAAUUUGAUGAGGGACAAUAUUAUGAGAAUACAAGUGAUGAAGUCUAUCGACCUGCCCCCAACGCAGAUGAUCAUUUUCAUCAAACCGAAGACUAUCCUUUUGUUGAAGAUGAUGGAUCAUCAAUUUAUGAGUCUCCGCCACCACCGAGCUAUGAAGUUUAUUUGUGUUCUGAUAAUAUUGACAAUGUGGUGGCUAAGGGUGUACUCAUUGUACCAAACAUGGGUAGCCAAAUUACCGUCCAUGGAAAUGUACUUGAUGAUUCAGUUGCGAGGGUUUGGCUUAUAGAUGUCUUACAAGAAGAAGCUGAGAUCCCUAUUCCCUUUGGUAACGUACGAUAUGUUGGGGACGCACGAGACACAUUCCUGCCUUGGCCUAAAAAUUUAAUUGUCGCUUGUCAGGGUCCAUCUUCAUCUAAUCACAAAUCCCUAUCACCAAGCCCACAUUUAUCAUCAGUUGGAUCUCACGUAGUCAUCCCCGCUGAAAUAACUCAACCAGAACCUUCAAAUUGGUUAACAGAUAACCAAUGGGACAAAAUUGAUCUGAGUCUAAAAUUUAUAGUGAAGGAGUAUUAUUCCAAUAAAGGAAUAGAUGGGGUUGUACAAGUUCCCGUUGACCCGGAGUUUAUAGGAGAACGCGAGGCUAUCUUCAUCACUUUGGAAGACGUUUAUUAAGCGGCCUCCAUGGAUAAUAUUGGAUCCUCAGCUAUGCUGUUUGGUAUGAGAUGCAUUUAGGAAAGCAUGCACCCAAAUUCACGACAAUUAUAUAAAUUUUUUGACACCGAACAUCUUUCUAUUGGCAAUGAUGAAAGUAAAAACUAUACGAUGGAUCUUAUAGCCAAAUGGAUGAUGACUAUGGAUAGAUGAGGCCAAAUAUAUUUCAUUCCUUGGAUUGUUGAUCGACAUUGGAUGUUGGUGCUUGUGAUGAUGCGGGGGAUGACCAUAAUUUUGGACCCUUUAAAAAAUCAUAAAUCUCCACCAAUAAUUACGGAGGUUAUGGAAAAAGCAUACGCACAAUGUUUGGAAAAUGAAUACAUCGGCACAUUUACAAAAUUGGUGAGAGGUUCUUGUCCAAAACAACCUGAAAGUCAUGAAUGUGGUUAUUAUGUACUAAGAUAUAUUUAUGAUCUUGUAAAUGCACCGAAUCCAGCAGAAGUUAUCAAGAAGAAAUGGUUUGACAAAAAGCAAUUCAAUGUCAAAGAGGAUCUACUACCACUACAAAGUGAUUGGUUAGCUAGAUUAAUGUCAUUUGUUUAUGAAAUCUAAACUUUUGUAUGUAUGUAAGAUUAAAGUGCUAAC
This is a long non-coding RNA of Humulus lupulus (European hop), 2098 nucleotides long. RefSeq lists it as uncharacterized. NCBI's taxonomy places the organism in Eukaryota, Viridiplantae, Streptophyta, Magnoliopsida, Rosales, Cannabaceae. The transcript has 8 exons. The record is from RefSeq and is a predicted model, not a curated record.